This 71-nucleotide transfer RNA is filed under the name Ictidomys tridecemlineatus (thirteen-lined ground squirrel). Its description in RNAcentral is "Spermophilus tridecemlineatus (thirteen-lined ground squirrel) tRNA". It matches the Rfam family "tRNA". Rfam says of the family: Transfer RNA (tRNA) molecules are approximately 80 nucleotides in length. Their secondary structure includes four short double-helical elements and three loops (D, anti-codon, and T loops). Further hydrogen bonds mediate the characteristic L-shaped molecular structure. tRNAs have two regions of fundamental functional importance: the anti-codon, which is responsible for specific mRNA codon recognition, and the 3' end, to which the tRNAs corresponding amino acid is attached (by aminoacyl-tRNA synthetases). tRNAs cope with the degeneracy of the genetic code in two manners: having more than one tRNA (with a specific anti-codon) for a particular amino acid; and 'wobble' base-pairing, i.e. permitting non-standard base-pairing at the 3rd anti-codon position. The record is from Rfam by way of RNAcentral. Lineage: Eukaryota; Metazoa; Chordata; Mammalia; Rodentia; Sciuridae.
GGGGUUAUGGCUCAGUGGUGGAGCGCUGGCCUCGCACUCGGGAGACCCUGGGUUCAAUCCCCAGCACCCCA